Non-coding RNA from Triticum aestivum (bread wheat), 138 nucleotides. NCBI's taxonomy places the organism in Eukaryota, Viridiplantae, Streptophyta, Magnoliopsida, Poales, Poaceae. The record is from Rfam.
CUUGUACUCCCUCCGUCCGAAAAUACUUGUCAUUAAUAAAAUGGAUAAGAAGGGAUGUAUCUAGAACUAAUAUACAUCUAGAUACAUCCCCUUUUAUUCAUUUUGAUGACAAGUAUUUCCGGACGGAGGGAGUACAUA